Molecule: non-coding RNA, 45 nt
Organism: Picea glauca (white spruce)
Lineage: Eukaryota; Viridiplantae; Streptophyta; Pinopsida; Pinales; Pinaceae
Source: Rfam
GCAAUGGUGUCUUUAGACACCACCACCUCUUUCAUAUCCUCUAUU